UGGGGAAUUUUGGACAAUGGGCGAAAGCCUGAUCCAGCAAUGCCGCGUGUGUGAAGAAGGCCUUCGGGUUGUAAAGCACUUUUGUCCGGAAAGAAAUCCUUGGCUCUAAUACAGUCGGGGGAUGACGGUACCGGAAGAAUAAGCACCGGCUAACUACGUGCCAGCAGCCGCGGUAAUACGUAGGGUGCAAGCGUUAAUCGGAAUUACUGGGCGUAAAGCGUGCGCAGGCGGUUUGCUAAGACCGAUGUGAAAUCCCCGGGCUCAACCUGGGAACUGCAUUGGUGACUGGCAGGCUAGAGUAUGGCAGAGGGGGGUAGAAUUCCACGUGUAGCAGUGAAAUGCGUAGAGAUGUGGAGGAAUACCGAUGGCGAAGGCAGCCCCCUGGGCCAAUACUGACGCUCAUGCACGAAAGCGUGGGGGAGCAAACAGGAUUAGAUACCCUGGUAGUCCACGCCCUAAACGAUGUCAACUAGUUGUUGGGGAUUCAUUUCCUUAGUAACGUAGCUAACGCGUGAAGUUGACCGCCUGGGGAGUACGGUCGCAAGAUUAAAACUUAAAGGAAUUGACGGGGUCAUAGCUGUUU
This 583-nucleotide ribosomal RNA is filed under the name uncultured bacterium. RNAcentral describes it as "partial 16S ribosomal RNA". It matches the Rfam family "Bacterial small subunit ribosomal RNA", at positions 355 to 935 of the family's 1533-position model. The record is from RNAcentral.